UACGGAGGGGGCUAGCGUUGUUCGGAAUUACUGGGCGUAAGCGCACGUAGGCGGCUUUGUAAGUUAGAGGUGAAAGCCCGGGGCUCAACUCCGGAAUUGCCUUUAAGACUGCAUCGCUAGAACGUCGGAGAGGUAAGUGGCAAUUCCGAGUGUAGAGGUGAAAUUCGUAGAUAUUCGCAAGAACACCAGUGGCGAAGGCGGCUCACUGGCCCGGUACUGACGCUGAGGUGCGAAAGCGUGGGGAGCAAACAGG
Molecule: ribosomal RNA, 253 nt
Filed under: uncultured bacterium
Lineage: Bacteria
Description: partial 16S ribosomal RNA
Rfam family: Bacterial small subunit ribosomal RNA
Source: RNAcentral